UACGGAGGGGGCAAGCGUUGUCCGGAUUCAUUGGGCGUAAAGAGCGUGUAGGCGGCCAGGUAGGUCGGUUGUGAAAACUGGAGGCUCAACCUUCAGAGGUCGACCGAAACCAUCUGGCUAGAGUCCGGGAGAGGAGAGUGGAAUUCCUGGUGUAGCGGUGAAAUGCGUAGAUAUCAGGAGGAAUACCGGUGGUGUAGACGGCUCUCUGGACCGCGACUGACGCUGAGGAGCGAAAGCGUGGGGAGCGAACAGG
This 253-nucleotide ribosomal RNA is filed under the name uncultured bacterium. RNAcentral's name for it is "partial 16S ribosomal RNA". It matches the Rfam family "Bacterial small subunit ribosomal RNA", at positions 524 to 776 of the family's 1533-position model. The record is from RNAcentral.